Molecule: ribosomal RNA, 440 nt
Filed under: uncultured bacterium
Lineage: Bacteria
Description: partial 16S ribosomal RNA
Rfam family: Bacterial small subunit ribosomal RNA
Source: RNAcentral
CCUACGGGAGGCAGCAGUGGGGAAUAUUGCACAAUGGGGGAAACCCUGAUGCAGCGACGCUGCGUGAGUGAAGAAGUAAUUCGGUAUGUAAAGCUCUAUCAGCAGGGAAGAAAAUGACGGUACCUGAGUAAGAAGCCCCGGCUAACUACGUGCCAGCAGCCGCGGUAAUACGUAGGGGGCAAGCGUUAUACGGAGUGACUGGGUGUAAAGGGAGCGUAGACGGCAGUGCAAGUCUGGAGUGAAGGGCGGGGGCUCAACCCCCGGACUGAUCUUGAAACUGUACGGCUGGAGUGCAGGAGAGGUAAGUGGAAUUCCUAGUGUAGCGGUGAAAUGCGUAGAUAUUAGGAGGAACACCAGUGGCGAAGGCGGCUUACUGGACUGUAACUGACGUUGAGGCUCGAAAGCGUGGGGAGCAAACAGGAUUAGAUACCCGGGUAGUC